AGUGAACGCUGGCGGUAGGCCUAACACAUGCAAGUCGAACGGCAGCACAGAGGAGCUUGCUCCUUGGGUGGCGAGUGGCGGACGGGUGAGGAAUACAUCGGAAUCUACUCUGUCGUGGGGGAUAACGUAGGGAAACUUACGCUAAUACCGCUUACGACCUACGGGUGAAAGCAGGGGACCUUCGGGCCUUGCGCGAUUGAAUAAGCCGAUGUCGGAUUAGCUAGUUGGCGGGGUAAAGGCCCACCAAGGCGACGAUCCGUAGCUGGUCUGAGAGGAUGAUCAGCCACACUGGAACUGAGACACGGUCCAGACUCCUACGGGAGGCAGCAGUGGGGAAUAUUGGACAAUGGGCGCAAGCCUGAUCCAGCCAUACCGCGUGGGUGAAGAAGGCCUUCGGGUUGUAAAGCCCUUUUGUUGGGAAAGAAAUCCAGCUGGCUAAUACCCGGUUGGGAUGACGGUACCCAAAGAAUAAGCACCGGCUAACUUCGUGCCAGCAGCCGCGGUAA
This 506-nucleotide ribosomal RNA is filed under the name uncultured bacterium. RNAcentral's name for it is "partial 16S ribosomal RNA". It matches the Rfam family "Bacterial small subunit ribosomal RNA", at positions 29 to 523 of the family's 1533-position model. The record is from RNAcentral.